GUUUGAGGAACACCACCUUGGAGCUUUCACUCUGUUCCCCCUCCCUACAUCUGUUUUUUUCCAUCUCUUUGCAAAGGUGAGCACACAGAGGCACACUCUUCCAAACAAGAGAAGAGAGAGAAGACACAGUGUUCCAAGUUGGAGUGUUCAAUCCAAGCCCAUCAUCACCCUUCCCAAAUGACUUGGGGGAGAAAGAAAAGCUAUGCCAUGACAUUCUGUGGUUGUAUCAAGAUGCCCAUAUGGAUUCUCCAUUGGCUCUAUGUUGGGAGACUGUAAGGACUGAGCAAGCAAUACCAGCCACACAGCUCAACUUUUGAAAAGGUAUUGAAUAGCUCAGCACAGUGCUAUGCCACCAAUUGCAAAUGCAGGAAAAGGAUUAGCAGUAUUUGCAGUAUUUGCAGAAGCCCUCCUUGUUAUGUUGGAUUGUUCCACCUAUAUGAUUGCUUCCACAACAGUAGUGAGUCUACGUCUGUGACUACAUGUGUAUGCUGUGCCCACCAUCCUCUCAAUCACUCUCAUGCUAAUUGUGUGGGAGUCAGGGGAUUCUCCAUUUCCAUUACUUUAAAUGGAUGUAUAAAUAAAGAAGACAUUGUUCUGUACAGAAGCAAACAAUGACUACUACCCCACACCAAAACUGCCUGCACAGUCAACUCCCCCCUCCACAUCACUUUUGUAUCUUAUGUUAUUAAGAAUCAAUUCCCCAUCUAUGGAAUUAUGCAUUUUGUGCAACUGAGAAUUAAUUUCCAGACCAGGUGUGAUGUUUUUUGAGCCAUUAAGAAUCAACCCCCAGACUUGGCUUCACAAAGGUAAAUAUUUGAUAUUGAUGUUUAUCAAGUGAAUAGUUUGAACAAGUAUUUUCUUUAUUUUUUUUUCUUUUGUUUUUUUCCCCUAUUGGGCCAUUAAGAAUCAAUCCUCCAGGCUGAGCAUUUAUGUUCCUUUAGUCAUUGAGGAUCAAUCCUCUGGACUAAGCACUUAUAUUUCUUAGGUCAAUCAAAAUCACUCUCUAGACUAGGUAUUUAUGUUUUUUGAGCCACUACAAAUGAACACCCAAACUUGAUGCUUAAAAAUAUGAAUUUUUGCAAUCAAUAUUUAUUUAAAUUAAUAGUUUGGAAAAAUCCAAUUGUUCUUUUAGUGUGCUGGCUUAAGGUAGGAAUUCAAGGAUAAAUUACCUUAUUUAUUUGAAGUUAUGUGAUUAGAAGUUUAUCUGCAAAACCCAUGUUUUCUGAUACAGUUGAGUAGGCUUCUUUUCUUAGAUAGUAGGUUAAAUGGAAGUAAUCACAGAAAUGCAUGUCAGUGCCUCUAUUCUUACGUUAUAGAUACGUUUCUUGUUUUUUUUAUUUUGUUUCCCUUAGUCUACCUUUUUUGUGCUUCUCGAACCUCUCUCGUGUAUCCUCUCUUCUUGCAUUGUCUAUUUCUUUAAUUAGGUUUUUUUUUUUGCUUCCUUGACUCAACUUUUCUAUGUCUCUCAAUUUUUGCACCUUGCAAGUGUUGUUAGAUAGUAUUUUUUUAGAUAUCCUAACAAACAAGUAAAUAAUAAUAAUAAUAAUAAAUACUUUCACAUAUUAUACCAAAAUAAAAAAAAUCAUAAAAAAUUUAUGUAUCAUUUUUAAUAAAUAUUGCAAGAAAAAAUAAAAAUUACUAAUUGAAAUUCUUGCAUUGUUACUUUUAUUGGCAAAAAAUGACAGUGUUCAUAAAAAAACUACAAACAAUAAAUUAGUAAAAGAAUUGUAUUUAUUUGAGUGAUAAACAUAUUAUUGUCAAAUGUUUGUACAUUUAUAAGUUGUCUGUCUUUUUAUAGAAAACUUAAACAAACACAAAUUCACAAGGAAGAAACAUAAAACUUUACAUAAUGUGAAUUCUAAAAAAACAUUUUAAAGGGUGUGACAAUAAAGCAAGGUGAUUGUGUGAUAUAAUUGCACAACUCAUAACUAUGUUGGAACCUAUUGGUUCCAACGCUCUGUGAACAAAAUUGACAAACAUGUAAUACUAAUAGUAUAGCAGAUGUUCAUGUAUUCAGA
This 2018-nucleotide long non-coding RNA is filed under the name Physcomitrium patens. Its description in RNAcentral is "long non-coding RNA (PPAT_LNC009464)". The record is from RNAcentral. Lineage: Eukaryota; Viridiplantae; Streptophyta; Bryopsida; Funariales; Funariaceae.